CCCUUAGAUGUUCUGGGCCGCACGCGCGCUACACUGAUGCAUUCAACGAGUUUCUUCCUGGUCCGAGAGGAAUGGGUAACCUUUUGAAAGUGCAUCGUGAUAGGGAUAGACUAUUGCAAUUAUUGGUCUUCAACGAGGAAUUCCUGGUAGACGUAGUUCAUCAGACUGCAUCGAUUACGUCCCUGCCCUUUGUACACACCGCCCGUCGCUCCUACCGAUUGAAUGCUCAGGUGAGCCAUUCGGACCUUCAUCAUGCCGGUUUCCGGUUUUGAUGAGGGAAAGUCUUGCGAACCUUAUCAUUUAGAGGAAGGAGAAGUCGUAACA
This 324-nucleotide ribosomal RNA is filed under the name uncultured eukaryote. RNAcentral's name for it is "partial 18S ribosomal RNA". It matches the Rfam family "Eukaryotic small subunit ribosomal RNA", at positions 1470 to 1796 of the family's 1831-position model. The record is from RNAcentral.